This 468-nucleotide ribosomal RNA is filed under the name uncultured bacterium. Its description in RNAcentral is "partial 16S ribosomal RNA". It matches the Rfam family "Bacterial small subunit ribosomal RNA", at positions 28 to 507 of the family's 1533-position model. The record is from RNAcentral.
GACGAACGCUGGCGGCGUGCUUAACACAUGCAAGUCGAACGGAAAGGCCCUGCUUUUGUGGGGUGCUCGAGUGGCGAACGGGUGAGUAACACGUGAGUAACCUGCCCUUGACUUUGGGAUAACUUCAGGAAACUGGGGCUAAUAUCGGAUAGGAGCUCCUGCUGCAUGGUGGGGGUUGGAAAGUUUCGGCGGUUGGGGAUGGACUCGCGGCUUAUCAGCUUGUUGGUGGGGUAGUGGCUUACCAAGGCUUUGACGGGUAGCCGGCCUGAGAGGGUGACCGGCCACAGUGGGACUGAGAUACGGCCCAGACUCCUACGGGAGGCAGCGGUGGGGAAUAUUGCACAAUGGGCCGAAGCCUGAUGCAGCAACGCCGCGUGCGGGAUGACGGCCUUCGGGUUGUAAACCGCUUUCGCCUGAGACGAAGCGUGAGUGACGGUAAUGGGUAAAGAAGCACCGGCUAACUACGUG